This 997-nucleotide ribosomal RNA is filed under the name uncultured bacterium. RNAcentral's name for it is "bacterial SSU rRNA". It matches the Rfam family "Bacterial small subunit ribosomal RNA", at positions 509 to 1504 of the family's 1533-position model. The record is from RNAcentral.
CAGCAGCCGCGGUAAUACGGAGGGGGCUAGCGUUGCUCGGAAUCACUGGGCGUAAAGAGCGCGUAGGCGGUUGGGGAAGUCGGUGUGGAAAUCCCUGGGCUCAACCAAGGAACUGCGCUGAAUACUUCUCGACUCGAGGCCAGGAGAGGGAUGUGGAAUUCCCGGUGUACCGGUGAAAUGCGUAGAUAUCGGGAGGAACACCUGUGGCGAAGGCGGCAUCCUGGACUGGUUCUGACGCUGAGGCGCGAAAGCUAGGGGAGCAAACAGGAUUAGAUACCCUGGUAGUCCUAGCUGUAAACGAUGGGAACUGGGUGUUGCGGGGAUUGACCCCUGCAGUGCCGGAGCUAACGCGUUAAGUGCCCCGCCUGGGGAGUACGGUUGCAAGGCUGAAACUCAAAGGAAUUGACGGGGGCCCGCACAAGCGGUGGAGCAUGUGGUUCAAUUCGACGCAACGCGAAGAACCUUACCUGGGUUUGAACUGCAGGUGACAGCUCUGGAAACAGAGUCUUCCUUCGGGACACCUGUAGAGGUGCUGCAUGGCUGUCGUCAGCUUGUGUCGUGAGAUGUUGGGUUAAGUCCCGCAACGAGCGCAACCCUYGCCCUCUGUUGCCAUCGGGUCAUGCCGGGCACUCUGAGGGGACUGCCCCGGAAAACGGGGAGGAAGGCGGGGAUGACGUCAAGUCAUCAUGGCUUUAUGCCCAGGGCUACACACGUGCUACAAUGGACGGUACAACGGGUUGCGAACCCGCGAGGGGGAGCUAAUCCCAAAAAACCGUUCUCAGUUCGGAUUGCAGUCUGCAACUCGACUGCAUGAAGGUGGAAUCGCUAGUAAUCGCGGAUCAGCACGCCGCGGUGAAUACGUUCCCGGGCCUUGUACACACCGCCCGUCACAUCACGAAAGUUGGCGGCACCUGAAAUUGCUGUGCUGACCCGCAAGGGAGGCAGGCACUUACGGUGUGGUUGAUGAUUGGGGUGAAGUCGUAACAAGGUAGCCGUA